UAGGGAAUCUUCCACAAUGGGCGAAAGCCUGAUGGAGCAACGCCGCGUGUGUGAUGAAGGCUUUAGGGUCGUAAAGCACUGUUGUAUGGGAAGAAAUGCUAGAAUAGGGAAUGAUUCUAGUUCGACGGUACCAUACCAGAAAGGGACGGCUAAAUACGUGCCAGCAGCCGCGGUAAUACGUAUGUCCCGAGCGUUAUCCGGAUUUAUUGGGCGUAAAGCGAGCGCAGACGGUUGAUUAAGUCUGAUGUGAAAGCCCGGAGCUCAACUCCGGAAUGGCAUUGGAAACUGGUUAACUUGAGUGUUGUAGAGGUAAGUGGAACUCCAUGUGUAGCGGUGGAAUGCGUAGAUAUAUGGAAGAACACCAGUGGCGAAGGCGGCUUACUGGACAACAACUGACGUUGAGGCUCGAAAGUGUGGGUAGCAAACAGGAUUAGAUACCCUGGUAGUCCACACCGUNNCGAUGAAUACUAGGUGUUAGGAGGUUUCCGCCUCUUAGUGCCGAAGCUAACGCAUUAAGUAUUCCGCCUGGGGAGUACGACCGCAAGGNUG
This 549-nucleotide ribosomal RNA is filed under the name uncultured bacterium. RNAcentral describes it as "bacterial SSU rRNA". It matches the Rfam family "Bacterial small subunit ribosomal RNA", at positions 355 to 896 of the family's 1533-position model. The record is from RNAcentral.